CCGAGUUUAUCAACUCCCAAACCCCUGUGAACAUACCUACUGUUGCCUCGGCGGGAUAGCCCCGGCCUGGCGCAGCCUCGGCACCGGAACCAGGCGCCCGCCGCAGGACCUACCAAACUCUUGUAUUCUAUAUGAAUCUUCUGAGUGACCAUAAGCAAUAAAUUA
Molecule: unclassified non-coding RNA, 165 nt
Filed under: soil metagenome
Description: partial internal transcribed spacer 1
Source: RNAcentral